CUAAUACAUGCAGUCGAACGCUUCUUUUUCCACCGGAGCUUGCUCCACCGGAAAAAGAGGAGUGGCGAACGGGUGAGUAACACGUGGGUAACCUGCCCAUCAGAAGGGGAUAACACUUGGAAACAGGUGCUAAUACCGUAUAACAAUCAAAACCGCAUGGUUUUGAUUUGAAAGGCGCUUUCGGGUGUCGCUGAUGGAUGGACCCGCGGUGCAUUAGCUAGUUGGUGAGGUAACGGCUCACCAAGGCCACGAUGCAUAGCCGACCUGAGAGGGUGAUCGGCCACAUUGGGACUGAGACACGGCCCAAACUCCUACGGGAGGCAGCAGUAGGGAAUCUUCGGCAAUGGACGAAAGUCUGACCGAGCAACGCCGCGUGAGUGAAGAAGGUUUUCGGAUCGUAAAACUCUGUUGUUAGAGAAGAACAAGGAUGAGAGUAACUGUUCAUCCCUUGACGGUAUCUAACCAGAAAGCCACGGCUAACUACGUGCCAGCAGCCGCGGUAAUACGUAGGUGGCAAGCGUUGUCCGGAUUUAUUGGGCGUAAAGCGAGCGCAGGCGGUUUCUUAAGUCUGAUGUGAAAGCCCCCGGCUCAACCGGGGAGGGUCAUUGGAAACUGGGAGACUUGAGUGCAGAAGAGGAGAGUGGAAUUCCAUGUGUAGCGGUGAAAUGCGUAGAUAUAUGGAGGAACACCAGUGGCGAAGGCGGCUCUCUGGUCUGUAACUGACGCUGAGGCUCGAAAGCGUGGGGAGCAAACAGGAUUAGAUACCCUGGUAGUCCACGCCGUAAACGAUGAGUGCUAAGUGUUGGAGGGUUUCCGCCCUUCAGUGCUGCAGCUAACGCAUUAAGCACUCCGCCUGGGGAGUACGACCGCAAGGUUGAAACUCAAGGAAUUGACGGGGGCCCGCACAAGCGGUGGAGCAUGUGGUUUAAUUCG
RNAcentral lists this ribosomal RNA (933 nucleotides) under Enterococcus faecium. RNAcentral describes it as "bacterial SSU rRNA". It matches the Rfam family "Bacterial small subunit ribosomal RNA", at positions 48 to 953 of the family's 1533-position model. Lineage: Bacteria; Bacillati; Bacillota; Bacilli; Lactobacillales; Enterococcaceae. The record is from RNAcentral.